Molecule: ribosomal RNA, 369 nt
Filed under: uncultured bacterium
Lineage: Bacteria
Description: bacterial SSU rRNA
Rfam family: Bacterial small subunit ribosomal RNA
Source: RNAcentral
GAAGGGUGCAAGCGUUACACGGAAUUACUGGGCGUAAAGCGUGCGCAGGCGGUUAUGUAAGACAGAUGUGAAAUCCCCGGGCUCAACCUGGGAACUGCAUUUGUGACUGCAUGGCUAGAGUACGGUAGAGGGGGAUGGAAUUCCGCGUGUAGCAGUGAAAUGCGUAGAUAUGCGGAGGAACACCGAUGGCGAAGGCAAUCCCCUGGACCUGUACUGACGCUCAUGCACGAAAGCGUGGGGAGCAAACAGGAUUAGAUACCCUGGUAGUCCACGCCCUAAACGAUGUCAACUGGUUGUUGGGAAUUAGUUUUCUCAGUAACGAAGCUAACGCGUGAAGUUGACCGCCUGGGGAGUACGGCCGCAAGGUUG